This is a long non-coding RNA of Oncorhynchus tshawytscha (Chinook salmon), 1422 nucleotides long. The record is from Ensembl. Lineage: Eukaryota; Metazoa; Chordata; Actinopteri; Salmoniformes; Salmonidae.
ACCCGAAUAACAUUAGGACAAAUUCAAAGCUUUGGAAAAGUACAGAAUCAAUGACAAGGAAAGGACACUAGAUAUUUUUCUCAUAAUCUUUUGUUUAUUCUUCGUUAUGUUUUUUUAGACAUGAAAUAAAGAAAAUAACACCUUUCCAAAACGCCUGUGUGUCGUGUUGUGAAAAAAGGGAGGAGGGAGAUCAACAGACUACAGAGUGCUACACACUCCAUCACAGCAGAAGGAGUAAACAGACAGAAUCAGAAUCAGGGCAGAGAGAGAUCACUCACAUAGUGCAAGGAAUGCCAAUGAGAACACUGGAGUGAAUUUGAGGGGGUCUGUCCCAGCCAGGGGGGGAAUUGAACCCACAACCUUCUGGUCCCAAGACCCAGACACUAACCAACCAUUCCAAAUAGAGUUGACUCACUAGGAGGUGGGUUUGUUACAUUACCCCCUCUUUUGCGAAGCGCUAUAAUACAGUAGUGGUAUAAAACAUGUCAAAUUCAUCCACAUGCACAUCUCAACAUCUCAGUUCCACUUCAGGAGGGCUAGAUCUCAAAUACAAACAGUGCCACUGAAUUCCCAAGUUGUACAACAGUUACUGUCUCACCAAGUUACACAAUACACUUCAAUAUGUUAUUCAUCUCAUGCUAAUGCACAUUCAAAUAAACCCUGAUAACCAAAUACCAAGCAACUAGGUCAUUUAUCACUCUUCCAAUCAUGACUGAGUGUCUGAGUGCUUUAUAUGAAACACUUCCUGUCCUGACUAUAAUUUUCUGUAUCUCCUGACUGUGUUGUGUCUUUAUAUACAGUACAGUAGACCUAUAAGGUAGUCAGGUCUGCACAUAGUACUUUACCUCUGUUUAGUCUGAGACCUACAUCAUAUAAACCAAACGGUGCCUCUUGGAGUGUAUUUAUAGAAUAUAGGCUGACUAGCCAUUGAAUAUUUGAUUUCAUAUUUGAGGCACUAAAUCAAAGAUGAGAGUCAUCCCGUGUAGAGCACCUCAGAGGUGCAGGUUUGUGUGAUGUUAACCACAUACUGAGUCUGGACAAACACAGAGAGUUUUCUAAACAAAUGUUAGAUGAUAAGCAGAUCAUUGAGGACAAUCAUUUCUAAGCAUGGAUAUGUGACGUCGACAUACAGCUGAAAUUGUGAUUUUCUUUUCUCAUUGCACACACAUAGGCUAGAGGGUUAUACCUAGACACAGAUACAAAAUGAUGUGUCACACGCACACAACACGGGCACGCACAACACACUCACUCAGGUACGAUCACACACGCACACACACACACACGUUAGGAUGAAGAUAACACUAUGACUGAUCAAUCCUCCAAACACACACAGACACAGACACACACACACACACACGUUAGGAUGAAGAUAACACUAUGACUGAUCAAUCCUCCAAACACACACACACACACACACACACA